This 208-nucleotide ribosomal RNA is filed under the name uncultured Anaerolineaceae bacterium. RNAcentral describes it as "partial 16S ribosomal RNA". It matches the Rfam family "Bacterial small subunit ribosomal RNA", at positions 568 to 775 of the family's 1533-position model. The record is from RNAcentral. Lineage: Bacteria; Bacillati; Chloroflexota; Anaerolineae; Anaerolineales; Anaerolineaceae.
CGUGUAGGUGGUUUGGUAAGUAGGGCGUGAAAGCUCCUGGCUCAACUGGGAGAGGCCGUUCUAAACUGCCGAACUAGAGGAUGGUAGAGGGAGGUGGAAUUCCGGGUGUAGCGGUGGAAUGCGCAGAUAUCCGGAGGAACACCAGUGGCGAAAGCGGCCUCCUGGACCAUUCCUGACACUCAGACGCGAAAGCUAGGGUAGCAAACGG